AGUGAACGCUGGCGGUAGGCCUAACACAUGCAAGUCGAACGGCAGCACAGUAAGAGCUUGCUCUUACGGGUGGCGAGUGGCGGACGGGUGAGGAAUACAUCGGAAUCUACUUUUUCGUGGGGGAUAACGUAGGGAAACUUACGCUAAUACCGCAUACGACCUACGGGUGAAAGCAGGGGAUCUUCGGACCUUGCGCGAUUGAAUGAGCCGAUGUCGGAUUAGCUAGUUGGCGGGGUAAAGGCCCACCAAGGCGACGAUCCGUAGCUGGUCUGAGAGGAUGAUCAGCCACACUGAAACUGAGACACGGUCCAGACUCCUACGGGAGGCAGCAGUGGGGAAUAUUGGACAAUGGGCGCAAGCCUGAUCCAGCCAUACCGCGUGGGUGAAGAAGGCCUUCGGGUCGUAAAGCCCUUUUGUUGGGAAAGAAAAGCAGCAGGUUAAUACCCCGCUGUUCUGACGGUACCCAAAGAAUAAGCACCGGCUAACUUCGUG
RNAcentral lists this ribosomal RNA (492 nucleotides) under uncultured bacterium. RNAcentral describes it as "partial 16S ribosomal RNA". It matches the Rfam family "Bacterial small subunit ribosomal RNA", at positions 29 to 507 of the family's 1533-position model. The record is from RNAcentral.